UGUUAAAAUAAAAUUAAAAAAAGCUGAAACUAUUUUGGGUUCGCGCUGAUAUAAUUUUCCUUUCCCACUUCUUUUCACACAAUCAAUAAGAACUUCUUUUCUCUCACUUUGAACCCAGACCUUCUUUGAACAUCAUUCGAAUCUCAGCCUCAGCAAACUCAUACCCAUCGAACCCCAUAUCUCCCAUGUCAUCAUCUCACUCUCAACGAUAAGAUACAAAACAUCAUUUGCUGGAGUCCACAAAUGCCGAACUCUCUCCCUAGUCCCUAACCUCAUACCUUCAUCGAUCUAUCCCUCACCUAACCCAUCAUUUGAACGCUCUCUCUCUCUCUCUCUCCCUCGUUGAACUCUAAUUGAAUCAAUUGAUUGAAACCCCCAUCUUUCAGAAAUCAAUUGAACCCUAAUUUGAUUAAUCAAAUUCUAUGUGAGGCAAGUGGUGAACACAAUCUUCCAUUCAUAAGAAGGGAUGUUUGGUGUGAAAUAACCUGCAGAAUUUUGCAGUAGUGGAUCAGAUUUGUGUUGUUUUGUUGUCUCGGUUCUGUUUUGGGGUGGGAGUGAUCUAGAAUUGCUUGUGUUGUUUCGUCGUUUGGAGUCAAUUGAGGGUUUCAAUUGAGUUGGUUUUCUGAUCUUCCAGUAGUAUUGGUUCGAGGACAGCGAAUUCGGGUUAUGGUACCUCUUCAAAUUCUACUUCAAUACAUACAAUAAAUUGGUACUUAUCACUCCCUUUACUCUUUUUUUUUUUUUUUUUCAUGAGAUCCUCCAGAUUGCGCUGCUACUACUGAACUGCUGCGGCUUUGAGCUUUUGCUGCGGUUCUGCUACUCCUAAUUGCUACUGCUGUUGUGCGCUGCAUCUGCUGUACCACUGAUUUGCGCUUCUGCUGCUGUUCCUAUUCGCUGCUACAGUCUGCUUCCUCAUCUCCUUCCAUUUCGUUACAAACUCAUUGUGUUACAGUCCCGUCCAAACUAUUUUCUUUGUCGGUUUUAAAGCAAUAUCACUACUCGUUGUAGUGCAUACUUUGGAAAU
Long non-coding RNA from Medicago truncatula (barrel medic), 1024 nucleotides. RefSeq lists it as uncharacterized. NCBI's taxonomy places the organism in Eukaryota, Viridiplantae, Streptophyta, Magnoliopsida, Fabales, Fabaceae. The record is from RefSeq and is a predicted model, not a curated record. The transcript has 4 exons.